UGUAAGACAGCCACUCCACCCACUGCAGUCUACAAGGAAAGCCUCCAUAGCUGUGCUUAUUACCGCCAACAGGAUUUCUUUAGUACUAAGCUUCAAGAAACCAGCAACUUGCUUGAGAUGUGUCCCACUUCUCGUUCUGGGCCCAUGAAACUUGGAUGAAACUAUGCCUGCCAUCUGGUUCUUACUUCAGGGUCACGGACUUAAGAUUGCCCAUUCAUUCCUCUUUAAUAAGACAUCUUGGUGGACUAAUGGCUAACCAGUCCAUGAUCACACAUCACUGUGAUGGUGUCACACACUUGGUAUUUUUUAAUUUAGGGAAUGUUGUGAUCCAACAUGGCUGUCACGGACUUGAUGCAAUAAAGCAAACUGUAGCUGAGCUGAAA
RNAcentral lists this long non-coding RNA (383 nucleotides) under Homo sapiens (human). RNAcentral describes it as "ZNF571 antisense RNA 1". The record is from RNAcentral. Lineage: Eukaryota; Metazoa; Chordata; Mammalia; Primates; Hominidae.